RNAcentral lists this ribosomal RNA (465 nucleotides) under uncultured bacterium. RNAcentral's name for it is "partial 16S ribosomal RNA". It matches the Rfam family "Bacterial small subunit ribosomal RNA", at positions 28 to 507 of the family's 1533-position model. The record is from RNAcentral.
GACGAACGCUGGCGGCGUGCUUAACACAUGCAAGUCGAACGGAAAGGCCCUGCUUGCUGGGUACUCGAGUGGCGAACGGGUGUGUAACACGUGUGUGUUCUGCCCUGCACUUCUUGUUAUGCCUUGGAAACUGGGUCUAAUACCGGAUAUGUGCCAUUUUUUGUGUUAUUGUUGGUAAGUUUUUUCGGUGUUGGAUGAGCUCGCGGCCUAUCAGCUUGUUUGUGGGGUAAUGGCCUACCAAGGCGGCGACGGGUAGCCGGCCUGAGAGGGUGGAAGGCCACAAUGGGAAUGAGAGACGGCCCAGAAACCGACGGGAGGAAGCAGGGGGGAAUAUUGCACAAUGGGAGCAAGCCUGAUGCAGCGAAGGCGCGUGGGGGAAGACGGCCUUCGGGUUGUAAAAAAGUUUCGCUAGGGAAGAAGCUUUUUGUGACGGUAACUAGAGAAGAAGCACCGGCUAACUACGUG